Long non-coding RNA from Papilio polytes (common Mormon), 352 nucleotides. RefSeq lists it as uncharacterized. The record is from RefSeq and is a predicted model, not a curated record. The transcript has 3 exons. NCBI's taxonomy places the organism in Eukaryota, Metazoa, Arthropoda, Insecta, Lepidoptera, Papilionidae.
AUACGGCUAAAGUUGACGUCUCCGAAGAUGAAUUGAGAGAUGGGUUGCAGUGGUACCCGGCGACGCGGGCGGUGGCGGUGGCGCGCGGCGCGGUGGCGCAGGUGACGUUCUCGCAGGUGCGUGCGCGCGUGCGCGGGCGCGUGGUGACGCGCGGCGCGGCGGAGGCGCGCGGCCUGCGCCUGCGCCUGCGCCCGCUCGCGCCCGACGGCGGCUACGCGGAGCGCGCGCACGUGCUCACCGCGCUGCCCAAUCACAAGGGCGAGUACGAGUUCAGCGAAGUGGUGGGGGGCAGCGUGGAGGUGUCAGUGGAGGACGCGCGGCUGUGCUGGGCGGAGGCGCGUCACAACGUGGC